UACGGAGGGUGCAAGCGUUGCUCGGAAUCACUGGGCGUAAAGCGGACGCAGGCGGCUCGGCAGGUCGGGUGUGAAAGCCCGGGGCUCAACCCCGGAAUUGCACUCGAAACCGCCGACCUCGAGUACGGGAGAGGGAAGCGGAAUUCCUGGUGUAGAGGUGAAAUUCGUAGAUAUCAGGAGGAACACCGGUGGCGAAAGCGGCUUCCUGGCCCGAUACUGACGCUCAUGUCCGAAAGCGUGGGUAGCAAACAGG
RNAcentral lists this ribosomal RNA (253 nucleotides) under uncultured bacterium. RNAcentral's name for it is "partial 16S ribosomal RNA". It matches the Rfam family "Bacterial small subunit ribosomal RNA", at positions 524 to 776 of the family's 1533-position model. The record is from RNAcentral.